RNAcentral lists this ribosomal RNA (247 nucleotides) under uncultured Bdellovibrio sp. RNAcentral's name for it is "partial 16S ribosomal RNA". It matches the Rfam family "Bacterial small subunit ribosomal RNA", at positions 210 to 456 of the family's 1533-position model. The record is from RNAcentral. Lineage: Bacteria; Pseudomonadati; Bdellovibrionota; Bdellovibrionia; Bdellovibrionales; Pseudobdellovibrionaceae.
GUUUUUCGCUCUAAGAUGAGCCCGCGUAAGAUUAGCUAGUUGGUGAGGUAACGGCUCACCAAGGCAACGAUCUUUAGCUGGUCUGAGAGGAUGAUCAGCCACACUGGAACUGAGACACGGUCCAGACUCCUACGGGAGGCAGCAGUAGGGAAUAUUGCACAAUGGAGGAAACUCUGAUGCAGCGGCGCCGCGUGAGUGAUGAAGGCCUUCGGGUUGUAAAGCUCUGUCGCAUGGGAAUAAGAAAGUG